This 265-nucleotide ribosomal RNA is filed under the name uncultured archaeon. RNAcentral's name for it is "partial 16S ribosomal RNA". It matches the Rfam family "Archaeal small subunit ribosomal RNA", at positions 718 to 982 of the family's 1478-position model. The record is from RNAcentral.
AGUCACUGACAUUAGAUACCCCCGUAGUCCAGGGUGUAAACGCUGCAGACUUGGUGUUGGAAGUCCUUUGGGGGCAUUCAGUGCCGUAGGGAAGCCGUGAAGCGAGCCACCUGGGAAGUACGGCCGCAAGGCUGAAACUUAAAGGAAUUGGCGGGGGAGCACCACAACGGGUGGAGCUUGCGGUUUAAUUGGAUUCAACGCCGGAAAUCUUACCGGGACCGACAGCAACAUGAAGGCCAGGCUGAAGACUUUGCCGGAUUAGCUG